Molecule: ribosomal RNA, 253 nt
Filed under: uncultured bacterium
Lineage: Bacteria
Also listed under: 1 other name
Description: partial 16S ribosomal RNA
Rfam family: Bacterial small subunit ribosomal RNA
Source: RNAcentral
UACGUAGGGUGCGAGCGUUAAUCGGAAUUACUGGGCGUAAAGCGUGCGCAGGCGGUUCUAUAAGACAGAUGUGAAAUCCCCGGGCUCAACCUGGGAACUGCGUUUGUGACUGUAGGACUCGAGUGUGGCAGAGGGGGGUGGAAUUCCACGUGUAGCAGUGAAAUGCGUAGAUAUGUGGAGGAACAUCGAUGGCGAAGGCAGCCCCCUGGGUCAACACUGACGCUCAUGCACGAAAGCGUGGGGAGCAAACAGG